RNAcentral lists this ribosomal RNA (427 nucleotides) under uncultured bacterium. Its description in RNAcentral is "partial 16S ribosomal RNA". It matches the Rfam family "Bacterial small subunit ribosomal RNA", at positions 354 to 796 of the family's 1533-position model. The record is from RNAcentral.
GUGAGGAAUAUUGCACAAUGGGCGAAAGCCUGAUGCAGCAACGCCGCGUGAGUGAUGAAGGCCUUUGGGUCGUAAAACUCUGUCCUUGGGGAAGAAAAAAAUGACGGUACCCUUGGAGGAAGCCCCGGCUAACUACGUGCCAGCAGCCGCGGUAAUACGUAGGGGGCAAGCGUUAUCCGGAAUUAUUGGGCGUAAAGAGUGCGUAGGUGGUUUUGUAAGCGUAGGGUGAAAGGCAGUAGCUCAACUAUUGUUAGCCCUGCGAACUGUGAGACUUGAGUGCAGGAGAGGAAAGUGGAAUUCCUAGUGUAGCGUUGAAAUGCGUAGAUAUUAGGAGGAACACCAGUGGCGAAGGCGACUUUCUGGACUGUAACUGACACUGAGGCACGAAAGCGUGGGUAGCAAACAGGAUUAGAAACCCGUGUAGUCC